AGAAGUCAGAGAGAUUUGAUGUCAAUGAGAUGCCCUUCUGCUGUGCUGAAAGAAAGCAGCUAUGUUGUGAGUGAGGAGUGCAUUUGACAGAACCUGCAGAUAGCCUCUCAGAGUUGUGAGUGAUCUAUGCUGGAUAUCCAGCAAGAAAACAGGGACCUCAGUCCUACAGCCACAGGGAGAUGAAUCCUGCCAACAAGCUGAAUGAAAUGGGAAGAAAACCUUAAGCCUCAGAUAAGAUUAUAGCCCCUGCCAACAUCUUGAUUUCAGCCUGUUGAGACUCUGAGCAGAGAACCUAGCUAUGCCAUGGCUAGACUCCUGACCCAAAGACCCAGUAAGAGAGACGAAGGGCACCUUUUCAGUGGAGAAACCUGGCAGAUACCAAGGUCCUCUCCCCUGGGCCUUGCUGAGGUUCUGUGUGAAGCUGAGCUCGGCAUGAUCUCCCUGCUGCCAUGCGAGGUUCCCCACGCGCACCGGGAGCCCACGGUACCGCUGGGCUGUCCUUUCUGAGCACCUGGAGCAGACUGCAAUUAAUCAGGGUGCCAGCCUGUUCGCAAGCCUGCUAUCUAUAUUCCCUCCAGGACAGAGACUAAUCUUUCCUCAAAGAGCCAAGUAGGGACAUGAGCAUUUUCCUUCUCGUAAAUCUGCCAGAAAUUUCAGAACGAUCUAAAAGUGUUAAAGACUAUAUGCAGAAAGCAUGUAGAUCUGGAUUCUUCCCUUUGUCCACACUUGCAUUUCCUCGCUCCUCCUUCUCUGGCCAGCAUCCCCUUUCACACACUGUUGGACAUGACCACAACUGUGCAUUUCUUCUUGACAGCCAACUUAAGUCCUUCCUACAUUUUCAGGAUAGUGGGUGGAAGGUUUUUCUCAGGAGCGUUGUAUGGAAGCCAGCAAGGGACAAUUAUAUAGGGAGGUAACCUUCUAUUAUACUAGGGUUUUUGCGGUUACAGGCAGUCAAAGCCAGAUAGAAAUGUAAAGAAACGAGCCUAUGUUAACACAGCUGUGUACAAGGAUAUGCCCUAAAGGCCUGGGGUUUGGGAUGGAAAAGGUUUGGGAUGUUUCCUUUUCUCUUUCCAUUGACAACAAAAUCUGCUGUUUCCUUUUGAGAUUUUUGGGAAAGAGAUGGCAGAUGAUGAGGUUAGGACAUAGAUGUGUGAAUACUGCAGCUGUUAACCCCAAAGCACAAUUGAUUCACUGUUAUUGGUCUAAAAACAAAAUAGAAAUGAUCCAAACAUAGCUGAAUAUAGGCUACAAUCUAGUUUCUUCUUUUAUUACAGUCUUUGGCUAUCAAUGGUCCUUUUGCCUUUCCCUUAGGGAACAGGAAAGACAGAGACUGACAUGAAUCAGUGUAACAUUUAAACCACAGUGCUAGCUAGCAUGACUGUGAUAGCCAUCUCGACGUGAUGUCAUAAGUAGCUGGUGUUGCCAUGGCAACACUACAAUGGUAAACAAAGAUGUUUUCUGGAUGGCUAGAGUAAAGGUGGCUUUUAUGCUGUCUCACACCCUCCUGCCCCUGACCCCCUACCAUGGAUAGGAAAGAUUUUCUUUUCUUUUGCUAUGCAUUUUUCACCUUCAGAUGAAAUAAGCGAGGUAUUUUAAUCAACAGCUAUUUGUGACUUAUAAGUUUUAAACAUGAAGCACUCUGAAAUGUUUGGAGCAAGACUGUAGAAAAACAACAGCAAAUUCAACCCAAAGAAAGCAAAAUGAAGGAAAGAUAAGAUAAAAGCAGAAAUUAGCAAAAUAGAAAACAAGCCUACAAUUGAGAGAAUCAACAAAUUUGUUCUUCUAAACGGUUAUAAAAUUGGUAAACUCCUGAUGAGAUUGGUGAAGACAACAGGAGAGAAGGAAAAAAUGAAUAAUAUCAAACAUGAAAAGGGGGGACAUCGCUACAAUCCUACAGGCAUGAAAGCUACCAUGAGAGACUAUCAUGAACAAAUUUUAGGAGAAAUAUAGAAAUUUCUAGGAAAAAAAACUUAACCAAAAUCAUACCAUGAGAAAUAGCCUAUUAAAUUGUUUUUAAUUAUUAAAUAUAUUGACUAUGUAAUUAAAAUUAUUUCCCCAAAGGAAAUUCUAGGCUCAGAUGGCUUCACUACUGAGUUCUACAAAAUUUAAGAAAGAAAUAAUAUCAAUCUUACACAACUAUUCCAGAGAAAGAAACGGAAUAAAUACCUUCUGACUUGUAUUAUGAAGCUAGCAUAACCUGGUUUCCAAAACCUAACAAGGACAUCAGAGAAAAGAAAAAUAAUAAGGCCAUCAAACCCAUGAACCAAACACUGCAAUAUACAGAAAGUAUAUUAAAUCACAACCAAUUUCGAUUUAUUCCAGUAAUGCAAGGGUGGUUUAGUAUUCAAAAAUCAAUCAAUGUAAUUCACCAAAUUAACACCAGAAAGGAGAAAAAGAAUAUAUUCAUUUCAAUAGAAACCCAAAAAUAGCAUUUGAUAAAAUUCAACAUCCAUUUAUAAUUAAAAAUUAAUAAUUCUUACCAUACCAAGAAUAGACAGGAAGUUCAUUAAUCUGAUAAAUAAUGCUUACAAAAUAGUUAAAGCAAAUAUUAUAUUUGAUGGUGAGAUGUUGAAAGUUUUCUCUCAGAUUCAACAUAAAUAUUAGCACAUGAUUUCUCUUCAACAAAAUAUUAGCAGUCCUAGCAGGUUCGGUAAGCUAAUAAAAAGAAAUAAAAUAUAUAGUGUUUAAAAGAGAGGUUAACAUGCCAUUAUUUGCAUUUGAUCUGACUGUAUAAUUAGGAAUGCCAAAAAAUAUCUACAUAAGAAUUAUUGGAACAAUGAAUGACUUUAGCAAGAUUGAUGUAUAAAAGUCAAUAUGAAAAAUGAAUUGUUUUUAUAUACCAGCAAGAAUCUCUAAGAAAAAAAAUUAAAAAUACCUUUACAAUAGGCCAAAAAUAUCAUCUACCUAGUAAUGUCUAACUAAAAACAUGAAAAAUCUCCUACACACAUGUGCUUGUGUGUGUGUGUGUAUAUAUAAAUGUAUAUUUCUAUAAAUAUAUUAUUGGGAGAAAUUUAAAGAGAAUUAAGCAAAUGGAAAGAAUACAUCAUGUUUAUGGAUUAGAAGACUCAAAGCGGAGUCCAGAAAGAGAACGAUGUAUAUGUGGACACUUGAUUUAUGAUAAAAGUGACAUGGAGGCUGAUGAGAAGGACGGAAUUUUCAAAAAAUGGUAUUAGUUUAACUACAAUUUUUACCAAAAUACUGAACAAAUAAAAAGGGAAAAGAAAAGUUAACCCCUAUCUCACACCAAACACAAAAAUUAAUUCCUGGUUCAGUGUAGAUCUAGAUAUGAAACACAAACUAACACAGCUUGUAUAGACUAAUAAAGGAACACAUUUUAAUGUUCUUGGGAUAGGGAAAGAUUUUGUUAAACCGGGCACAACACAGACCAACCAAAAGGGAAAUGAUUGAUAUAUUUGAACUACAAUUAAAAUGAUCAUUUCUGUUCAUUGAAAGACACCAUUACAGAAUGGAAAAGCAAAACACAUAGUGGGAGGAGGUACUUGCAAUCCAAAUAAUAACAAAGAGCUUAUAUUUAGGAUGUAUGAAGAACUCCUUCAAAUGAAUAAGAAAGCCCAUCUAAUAGAACAAUGGGCAAGAAUCUCCACAGGCACUGAGAAGAUAGACAAAUGGCUGAUAAACAAUCCUAUCAGUAAUAAGGAAAACGCAAAUUAAAAUUACAGUGAAUAAUGUCCAACAACUGGAUAAUGGAUAAACAGAUUGCAGUACUUUCCCAUGAUGAAAUACAACUUAGCAAUAAAAAGGAACAAGCCACCAACACACACAACAACAUGGAUGAAUUUCAAAAGCAUUAUGCUAGAUGAAAUAGGACGUACACAAAAGACAACAUACUGUAUGUUUCUAUUUACGUAAAAUUCUAGGAGAGGAAAAAUUGCACUGAUAGAGAUCAAUUGAAGCUCAGGUCUGUGGGUAGAGGAGAGAAUUGGCUGUAAAGGGGCAUGAGAAAACUUUUUGGGGUGUUGCAAAUGUUUUGUCUUGUGUGUUGUGGUGAAUAUAUUACUGUUUAUUUUUGUUAAAGCUCAUUGAAUAUAUUCAUCCCAUGAAAAAUUAUAAGCAAUGAAAAUGAAUGAAUCACUGCACCAACAUGGAUGAAUUUUAAAACUAUAAUGUUGAGAAAUAAUAACAAUAGAAGAAUUCAUAUGUUCUACUUAUAAAAACAGGAUCACUCUGGUGGCUCUGUUGCACACUGGUUGAAAGGAAGUCACAUGUGGAAGCCGAAAGACUAGUUGGGGGCUAUUGCAAUAAUCUUAGUGAGAGACAAUGGUGACUCAGAAGUGAAGAAAAGGGGAAAUGUUGUGGAGAUAUUUUCAAGGUAUAGCUAGCAGGAUUCUUUUAUUUAAAUAAAUUGAAUGUGGGAUAUAAGGAAAAUAAGAGUCAGGGAUGACUCCAAGUUUUUGGAUCUAAGCAACUAUAGUUUCCAUUAAGUGAAGUGGGAAAUAAUAUUUUACAGAUAGCAUGACUGUAUAUGCAGAAAAUCCAAGGAAUCAAUAGAUAAGUUAUUAAAGUUAAUACAGAAGUUUAACAUAUUGUCAAAUGAAAGUAGGUAUACAAAAAUCAAUAGAAUUUCUAUACACUGAAAACAAAUAUAAUAAAAAUUUAAAAUUAUCAAGAUAAUUGCAUUAAUAGCUGGAAUUAAAUCUAGAGUGAUGUCAGCAAGACGGUUGAAUAAGACAUCCCUUGCUCUUAUCCUCCUCGACAACAAUAAUUUGACAUCCGUCCACAGACGGAAGUUCCUGUGGGAUCCUGGAGCUGUGGGAUCCUGGUAGGAGACUGUGAAACCCUGGUGCAGUCCUAAACCGAGGAGAAUAAUUUAAAGAAGGCAAGCUUGUGCCAAGGUGACUUACUCACUGACAGUGGUCCCAGCUGGAAACAGCUCCAUACCCUGAGGAUUUGGCCACAGCCCCAUUUGGCCUUGGUCUUGUCACCAGCACUACAUGCCAUGGGACCCAGGAGGAGUCAUGCCCACCCAUGCAUCAUGUCAUAAGCAUACAGACCUAAGUCCUAGCUGUGGACCAUAAAGUGGCCCACAAACCUGCUCCAGCCCCUGUCAGCUACAAUCCAGGUGUCCCUGGAAGUAAGCUCACCAAACUCAGUCAGACUGUAGAUUCUGAAAGGGAUCUAUAACUUGGCUCCAGCCCAUCCUAUCCAUAGUCUUCCAGUAAUCCUGCUGGCACAGGGACCUGGCAGGAGACACUUCCACAUGAGCCCCUGGAGAUCCUGAAAGAGUCCUAUACUUGGCUCCAGCCCCUUCACAGCCACAGUCUGCCAACAGUUCUGAGGAUCCAGGGUCCCAGUGGGAUACACUCCAGUCUGCACCCCUAGAGAUUCCAAAAGGGCCCUAUACUCAGCUCUGGCCUCUCCAGUUGCAGUCAGGAAUCCAGCCUGCCCAGGGACCUGGAGGGAGACAUGCCCAUCUGUGCCUCCAGAGCCAGGUCUGCAGACCCCAAUCUUGGCUGUGGAACAUGAGGCAGCCCUGAGGCUUAGUUCCAGCUCUCAGCCACAGUCCAGAGCCAGUCCUGCACCCUAAGGUACUCAUCCAGUAACUAGGCAGGAGUCUUCCCAGGAACCUUGUCAGAGUAACACCCAUCCACACACCUGAUAAAG
This 5622-nucleotide long non-coding RNA is filed under the name Equus caballus (horse). RNAcentral describes it as "lncRNA (ENSECAG00000044881.1)". The record is from RNAcentral. Lineage: Eukaryota; Metazoa; Chordata; Mammalia; Perissodactyla; Equidae.